This 253-nucleotide ribosomal RNA is filed under the name uncultured bacterium. Its description in RNAcentral is "partial 16S ribosomal RNA". It matches the Rfam family "Bacterial small subunit ribosomal RNA", at positions 524 to 776 of the family's 1533-position model. The record is from RNAcentral.
UACGUAGGGCGCAAGCGUUGUCCGGAAUCAUUGGGCGUAAAGCGCGCGUAGGUGGCCCUGUAAGUCCGUUGUGAAAGUCAAAGGCUCAACCUUUGAAAGCCGAUGGAUACUGCAGGACUAGAGUACGGAAGAGGCGAGUGGAAUUCCUGGUGUAGCGGUGGAAUGCGCAGAUAUCAGGAGGAACACCAAUAGCGAAGGCAGCUCGCUGGGACGUUACUGACACUGAGGCGCGAAAGCGUGGGGAGCGAACAGG